RNAcentral lists this ribosomal RNA (460 nucleotides) under uncultured bacterium. Its description in RNAcentral is "partial 16S ribosomal RNA". It matches the Rfam family "Bacterial small subunit ribosomal RNA", at positions 338 to 795 of the family's 1533-position model. The record is from RNAcentral.
CCUACGGGGGACAGCAGUGAGGAAUAUUGGUCAAUGGGCGCGAGCCUGAACCAGCCAAGUAGCGUGAAGGAUGACUGCCCUACGGGUUGUAAACUUCUUUUAUAAAGGAAUAAAGUGAGGCACGUGUGCCUUUUUGUAUGUACUUUAUGAAUAAGGAUCGGCUAACUCCGUGCCAGCAGCCGCGGUAAUACGGAGGAUCCGAGCGUUAUCCGGAUUUAUAGGGUUUAAAGGGAGCGUAGAUGGGUUGUUAAGUCAGUUGUGAAAGUUUGCGGCUCAACCGUAAAAUUGCAAUUGAUACUGGCAGUCUUGAGUACAGUUGAGGUAGGCGGAAUUCGUGGUGUAGCGGUGAAAUGCUUAGAUAUCACGAAGAACUCCGAUUGCGAAGGCAGCUUACUAAACUGCCACUGACAUUGAUGCUCGAAAGUGUGGGUAUCAAACAGGAUUAGAUACCCCGGUAGUC